CAAGUGAGCCCAAGGCCAUUUUCUUUACGUCCCGAUUUUUCCGUCCGUGACGCGACAGCGUGGCGGCGCGGCGCGGCGCACGGGACCCCAUGGCGGCGGCGCGGCUCCGUUGGCCGGAGGAGCGUGCAGCGGACUCGCACCGUGCGCUGCUCCGUCGAACGGCGCCGACCACGUUGCACGCGCAUGGGCUUGAGGUGCGGAGCGGUCGGGAGAUGGCGGUGGCGCGGCGCCGUACUUGAGGAAGCUGACGACGACGUGAAUGGCAAGGCCGCCCUUCGCGUCUCUGUCUGUAAAGGUUGCGGGUUGUGCGGAAACCAUCGACGCGACGAGCGUAGACAGGUGUAUCCGUCAUUUGCCGCCGGAUUCCUUCCGCCUCAGCCAGGACCUUGUGUGCCCUUCUCUGAUGUUGUGAAAUGUUAACUCAUGCAUGCCGACAGCCGCCACCAUGCUCCAGCUGCCUCAGGCUUCAGGGUGAUGAAUUAGUCAAGCUAUUAAAUGGCAGCGACGUUCCUCACACACGCUUCCAAUGCAGAAUUGCUGGCAGGGCCAUCAUCACCUAUGUCAUGAACUGCUACUACAAGCCCUCAAGAGGAGGAGGUGAAGAUGGAGCGCAAUGGUGGCGGUCUUGGCCUUGCUCUCGCUAUUAUGGCUGCCAUCUGGCUUCUCUGCCGCAUCGUUGUUUUUGCCAGCAGCGGCGGCUCUUUGCUGUCGAUUGAUCGCAUGCGGCAUUCAAGGAGAUGCCUGGUGGCAGUUGUUGCCGAUGCAGCUAUGCGCCAUUGUCCUUUCAUUGCUCCAUGUUGAUGGGCCCUCAGAGGUGGCCAAUUGUGGGUGACAGGUGGCCAUAAGCACAAUAGAAGGCACCACGCAGAGCUAGAAGAGGAUGCUGGCCGGCAGACCACCUCUCUUGCCGUCAAGGGCACCAUUCAGCCGCCUUUUUUUUUUUUUUGCUUCAGAGGCUUCUUGUGCUGCUACAGGUUUCUGUUUCUUAUCCACUCUCCCAUUGCAGUUAACUGGAUGCUUUAAAGGAUUUGAAUGGAGUUCAUUCUAGGUGGGUGUGCAAAUCAGCAGCCUGCUGCCAUGUCUUUUCUUGCCGGAACCCCCCGCUGCUGGAUGCUCCCCUCCCGUCCUGGCACGGCAAGGCACAUCUGCCUCUUGUGUGAAGAGAGUCGCUGGGAGAAGACAACAAGGAUGACUCUGUCCAUAUUCCAGGUCGCUCUUCCUGCCGUGCCCUGCCUCAGUUCACGUUUGCAUCCUGAGGCGAUUUCUGAGCUAUCGGGUUCUUGAUUUCGUGCACAGGUGGGGAUUGCGUUGCCCUGUGGAACGGGUUCCCGUACCUCCUCUGUGCCGAGGCUGGUUGCUACCCCUGCUCGUGGCCGGCGGCUGCAAGGUGAGUUGAUUUGUUGGUUUGUUCAUGGCCUGGUUCUACCUGGCUCCUAUUGUUCUUCCCUUGUCUACUAUUUCGAUUGGUAGAGAGUUGUCUCGAGCAUAAAACCAGGAUAAUCAUUGAGAGACAUACCAUGGAGUGUUGAUGGUGUAAAUCUGGACAGUUGUGUCGUCUGAAACAAGAAUUUGGCCACAAAUCGUGUUGCUGCGAAUCUCAUCUUUCCUUUGUGAAGUCUGGUCAUUCUUCCUCAAAUUGGAUUGUUCGCAAUGUUCUGCAGCUAGGACUAGCUCGUGCAGGCUGACCCUUUGAUUCUAGUAGGUGUUCAAAUAGUGUCAUAUCUCAUAUGUCAAUGGCUUCUAGGUGCAGACCCUCAGUAUUAGGUGCUGUAUGUAGGAAUUGUACAUCGAUGGAAGUAUAUGAUGGUGCAACUCGCAUUUAGCCCAUAAGCAGACCUUUAGAGUGUGAUGUUUUAUCUUAUAGGCAUUUAUCAAAGCUAGCCCUGCUGCUUGGGUAAAUUCCGAGUGUUACGUGAAGUACACUGGGGCUAGACACUGUUGAUUUUUGCCUUACCCUGGUUUGCCGGUCUCUGUUUGCUUAUCUGGUACAGUGUCACCGAAAUAUCCGACCCGAAGCCAACCUCUCCUUCUAGAUGGCCCCAGUAUCCACCGCUAAUCUCUCAUCUCACCUUUUCUCAGAGAGAGAGAGAGAGAGGGAGAGAGACGCCUCCACUGGUCGGAAGGCCGUUCGAUGUCCGAGAGAAAGGGCGGAAGGCCGUUCCCCGGCCAACACAGAUCCAUCCCUCGCCGCUCUACAGCCGCCGUUUAAUGCCCUCCCUAUACCUUCCCGGUGGUGCCCAGCUGCUCCCCCCCUCCUCUUUCACCAUCCUGGGCAAAAGGAGGCCCAGGCGCAGCAGUUGUGGCCGUGGUCUGGUCAAGAUGGCGCCAUGGUCCAUGCUAUGGACGAGGAGCUAUGGGACGAGGCCGUCUCCCCUUCUCCUCUUUUGCGUGAUUUGGGUCAGAAGCCUUUAAUCUUCUCCGAUUUGGUCGCUCCAAUGGUCCAGCCUCUGCUUUGGUCGAUCGUUUAGCUCAUGACCCUGUGCUUUAUUUUGUCUGUCCUCAAAUUAUGAUUUUGUAUCAUAUAUGUGUCCUGCUUCCUUCAAAAUUGUGGAUUCCGAAAUUUAUGAUUUAUUUUCCGAAUUUGAUAUUGUCGAUGCUUAUCGUCAUCAUCCAGUUGGAUUAGGAACCGCGAUGAUGUCCAGUGCAGUUUCCGAUUCAUAAUUUUAUGAUCUCUGUAUAUUCAUGCGGUCAUGCCUAAAUCUGUAUAUUGUGCCAUUGAACGUUUCACAUUAUUUCUAUACCAUGGGACAGUAGGAAACUAAGUGCACAAGUGGGAAGAUUACUGCUCAGUAUUGUAGCCUUUAUGUAUGUUUUAGUCAUACUUUCCCAACAAUGAAGUGAAUGCUGAUAAUUCUGAAGUAUAUUAACUUCAAUCUAAGGCUGGUUCCAGCAUUAGGAUAAAGAAAUGCUCUGCAACAGAUUGGUAAUUGUGAAUAUACACUCGCUGGAAGAUACCUUGAGAAUUCAUCAUGUGUAGUGCUUUACUUUGUUGAGUCCACUUUUAGUUUAGCACUAAUUAACUAACUCUUUGGUGCUCAGUUACCUCCGUGUAAAUAGAUAUGGCUUCAUCCUGUUAGCUGCUUUCCUGGGCGAAUUGCUCCUUGUAUUAGUUACAUCAUGUAACCUAUACAUCAUAGUUCAUUCUUGAUUUUAGUUCAGUUUCUGGUUUCGUAUUAUGAUGGUUUGACCUGCAUCAUGCCUUUAUGAAAUAUGUACAUGAGAAUAUGGAUGUCAUCUAAUAAAUUAAAUUAGAUUUUUAUAUGGAGUAAUAUUGGUACACUAAGCGUUAUUGCUUGAUAAAGAACUGUUGCAUGUGGCGGAAGCUACAGCAAUGCCACCAUACUGUACAUGGCUCAAAUCUUGAAAUUCUUGGCUGCGUGCCACACCUGGUCUUUAAAAAUCAUGUCUUAAGGUUGAGCAAUUUCAGUUUGAGAAACCUACUUGGUGUUCUUGCAUUUCCUGAUAUAUUUGACAAACUUCUGUUGUGGCGAGUUUACGAUGGGUUUCAAUUUGGUGUAGUGAUCAAUCACUGAUGUCAUAUAUUUAUAACAGAGGGGGGAAAUGAAUACUUAUCAAAAAGUUCCUUUUGCAUAAAGCAGUUUUUGGGAGAUUUGGGAGUACAAAUGCCUAAUUCUAAUCUAUAGAGCCAACGAGACCCGUAAACAUUCUCAAACUAAUGUUUCAUAUUAAAAGACAAAUUGAUCGUGAUUUCAGUCGAGUGUACAUGUUGCACGAGAAUGACAUACUAAAAUGUUGAGCAAACCGAGGCUGGUGGUUUCUAUGCAAAACGAAGCUCUCGCCCUGAAUCAUUCUUUACUUCUAUUUUCCUGUAGCAAUUUUUGUACAUGUAUGUAGUUCCAAGGUGCAGAUAGUUAGCAUUUGGCUUUCUCUACUAUCGUUUGUCUUUUUAUAUCUUACCCCAUUUUACAUCAGUAAUUAUAGGAGAAGUUUAUCAUUAAGAAUCACACUAAUUAAUUGGGUUUACUUUAGGCACGAUCACACAAGAAAUCUAUGUUGAUUACAGGAAAGGCAUGCUCAUUUGUUCUCAGUACUGUUUUGAUUUUUCUACAAACAAUUGGCUUUGUACAGGUAAUUGAUAUAACCUACACAAUUGGGUUGUAUAAGAAUCAGGUUGCUACACUAUACUCCAGUGCCUUUCUGUUCAAUUUUCUGUUUGAUUACUGCAUCUUUCAUCUUUUCUAAUAUUAGGCGAUUAUGCUGGGUCAUUUGUGGCAUGCUCUUCUCUCUUUGCAUAGUGGAAAUACUUUUUGAUUACCAUUAGAAUAGGAGAUCACGCAAAGAUGUAUGCCAAGUUCUUAUUAUCAUCUAGCUAUUGGUUCCUAUCGAUAUUCAUGUCAAAUCUUGACAAGAUAUUUAUUGUUGUGAUUCAAGUAAGUAGGGGUGCAAAUUUAAAGCCAUCAUCUGGCCCUCCUUAGUUCAAAUAAAUGAACUAAAAUUUCAAGUUAAAUCAUGCAUUAUUUAAAUAGUUUCUACUUUGAGCUCUUCAAAUUUUAUGGAGAUACUCUCUCAAAUUUUGUUGUGUCCAGCAAGAAUGAAAAAAAAAUGUUCUUAACUGCAUUUUCUUCCUGCCUUUGAUUUCAGACAAUGUGCAUAUAUAUCUUAGGAUUCUCGAACCAGUGACAAUGUGGAAGGCACAUCCUUCGGUGCUUAGAUAUGCAACUUUUGAGUCUCUGCAGUGAAGAUUUCGCAGAACACGCAUUAGGGAUUAUCGACAUACAGAAAAUUGUCACAUCAUUACUAACUGCGGCAAAGAUUAGCAGCGAGUGCGAGGACGUCGUCCGAUGCUCGGGAAACGCUGCGGGAGUUCGCCUGUUCGGAGUUGUAGAGUGCAACCACGACCUCUUCCCUGCCAGCACCCGAUCUAGCGUCGUUCGUCCCACGACGGCGAGAUCCAGUUCCCCUGUGGCCUCUUCCUUCGGCCUUGGUUGACAAAAAGCAGUAAGAAAUCCUCACAUUUCCAAAUUUCUUUGCUACAAUUCAAUUACCUCUUCUCACCGUGCAAAUUUAAGAAACUCAACAACACAUUCUGAAGUGUUGUUUGUUGAUCAACUGGUUUAAUCAGUGCUGGCUUUGCGAGACUGUUGUCGUGUGAAAUUUUCAGAAGGAAAAAAUGCCUGUAGAUAUUGCUCUUCAAUCAUAUGACAAUAAACAUCAAUCUUCUCUUUUCUAUGCUGAAUGGUCAUUGCUGCUUGAUUUAGUGCGUUGCUGUGCAGUAAAUAUCAAGGCUUAAUUAGUAUAAGACUAAUAACAAUGGAAGAUCUAGAAGUUUCUAUCUCUGAACUUGCAGAGUUCUCCGAGCUUAGGAUAGCAAGACAUUGUCGAGGUUCACAAAGAGUAAAAGGCGACCUUACAUGAGCAUAACAAUAGCAGUACAAAUGCCAAAAGAAUUUGGCACACAAGUACAUAGUUACCACAACAAUAUUAGUACAUCAUAAAUGAUUGCUACGUCAUAAAACUCAGCGUCUAAGUUCCCCUCUCAGAACACACACAGUUAUAUUAUCCAGCAUAUCACUUCAGGAUGAACACACACAGGUUUGCUCAGUGUUAUCCAUCGGUUAGGGGCAUGCAUCCUUCUAUUCUGUAUCUUGAUAUACAGAAAGAAAUACUAUGUAUUGUUUACUCUUACUGAAUUGAUAAUGAGGUCUUAGCUGUAAUGUUAAUAUCCGUGAAAUCAAUAUCUAAGGUUGCUAUUCUUAAGAUUUAGUCGUUUCGUACUCCUAAUUUUGCACUGGGAUUUAAUGAACAUGAAUGCAGAAAAGGUUAACAUGCCUUGAACAUCUUUAUUUACUGAACAGAAAUAGACAAUUCAGUGUGAAAAUUUGGAUUUUGGAACACGCCUAUGCUUGAUAGGAUUUGUGUAUCUCACCCUUCCAAUGAAAUGAACUGUAUGGCAUCUAAAUUUCGACCCUCCGCCGCUAGAUCAUUUGCUGUGAAGAACUCUCCAGUAAGCGAUUGAAGUGUACACUGGAUAUUGGACUUCCAAUUGCGUGAUCCAUAUUGGUUGACUGAACACAUAAUUACCUUUUUUAUGUCCUGCAAAUAUGUGGUGUUUUGCAGAUUUAUGUUAACACAAGCUCACACCAUAUAUUUUCUAUGUACCUCUGUAUCCCAAUGGAAAAUGCAUUCUACAGAGCACUGUAACUUGGCAGUGCUUAUCUUUUCCUGAUUGACACAUGCAUUUCUUGAGAUGGACCAAAGCAGAACCUUGAUUCCGUAUAGUUUGCUUGCAUUCAGCUAACUUAAUAGCAGCGAACUAUCAAAUGAUUUCUGAACAAUAGUUAUUUGAUAUAAUUUUUGUUUUCUAUCACCAAUAAUGGUUGCUCCUCCGAUGCAUGUAGGCUAUAUCAUCAUUCAAGGAGAUUGUGGCAAAAUGAAGUGCGAUGCUAGAAACUUUCUCGUGAUGCAAAAAACUCUGAAUCGUGGCAUUGUGUAGUGAAAAUAUGAAGAGGCUGGUACCAUUAUUAGUUUUUUACUGACCAGAAAAUUGUACUACCUCCGUAAACUAAUAUAAGAGCGUUUAGAAUACUAAAGUAGUAAUCUAAACACUCUUAUAUUAGUUUACAGAGGGAGUACUAUGUAUCUUCUAGGAUUGUUCUUGAUGCAUAUUUUGCUCAAGUUAAGUCUUUAUACCAUAUGAAUGGUUCUGCACACUCUCGCUGCCAUAUCACUAAAAUUAUUUUUCCGUGUAAAUCAUUGGUCACACUUUUCUCAUAAUUCUACUCAGGUCAAAAUGUCGUAGAAAUUGUGUUUUCUGGUGUUUACGAGCAAGGAUGUCAGCAUUGUGGGUUGGGGCAUGGUUGGGCUUUGUCUUGGCGGAGUGGCUAUAUACUUUAGAGUUGUGUUGAGGGAUUUUUUUGCAUUAGCAAUUAAUAACUCAAGUAUAUUUUUAAAGAUGUUUCUUGCUUGGUGCUCUUCUUUGGUUUCUGAUCAGUUUGUGCCUGUUGUGUAGUGUGUAGGCUAUGUUCUAUUGGUUUGGACUGCCUUGAAUUGUUUGUUAUCGGAUAGAAAAUGCAACUCAGUACUCCAUUAUGUGUCACAACAGGUUUGGUAUAGACGUUUCAGGCUGACUCCUUACUUUUGCUUGCUCGAAGUUUAAGGUGCAUGCCACUUAAUUUUCUUCACGGGAGGAGGGUUGGCCAGAAGUAGGUGAGGUACAAAAGUAGGCUCCAUCCCUGUUACAUCUGUUCAGACUACUGAAUUUGGUUCCCUUACUCAUUUCAGUUUCACUUGGUGUAUGUGAAGCAAUGCAAUUUACUUCCAUUGCUGCCAUCUUGCUUUUCGUGAGUUAAUUCUGUACAAUUAGUCAACAUUGUAGACGGUGGCCUGAUAGAGCGUUUUCUGUAAUGCAUGGUUAAAUAGCUUUUAGGUUGAUUUGAUAAGACAACUUUUUCUAAUGUCAGGCUUAGUUUACUUUUUGUAAGAGUAGGUUUGAACCAUGUAAAUAUGCUUUAACAACUGAAAUUUUGACACAUGACAUGUUUUUAUUUGUUAUAUUUUAAGCUUGAAACUCAAAUCUCAGCUAUUCCCUAAAUAUUUAAAUACUGAACCUUUUGUUUUCUACACUGCCAUGGUCUCCGUGGUAUUAUUUUGAUAGCCUCACAACCACUAAUUGCUAUUAUAUGAAAUGAUAAAUUAAUGUGGGCAGUCAUGACUAUUUUAUACAUCGAUGGUCUAAACUAGAAAUGUUUGACUGCGCGUUACACAUCAAGGAGGGGGUAUUCAUGUGUGUGGUCUGCAGUGGUAUAUCAGUUAAAGAUGUGCUAAUUUUGUUGUUAAUGCUUUGACAUGCUAUGAAAGUUUUCUGUAUGGCAAAGGACGUGUUCCUUACUUUCUCCUGUGUAUUUAUUUCAGAAGUUCUUCGAGCAUUUGUUUUUAACUUGUAGCUUAUAUUGACAGCCAUGGUUGUGUGCCUUGGUAGAUUGAAGUAGUGGCAUGUAACUGAUUUCACAUUCUUCUAUGAAUAAUACCCGGACUGCUCUGUGCUAGAUACAUCCGCUUGAGUGACAAUUAGUUCCGGACGGAGGGAGUAUGUUUUUUGAAGACUGCUCUGUCUUUUUUCCUUCUAGUUACUGGCCAUAAGCCCUUAGCUAAUGCCAACUCUGCUGUAACAUGCCUAUUGACCACCAGAAACCACUUUGUUUUCUGUGUAUGCUGGCCAUUUCAGUGUACUUGUUUGAUAUGCUGCCAACAACUUUUCCCUUUCUUCUUUCUUACUCCCUCGGUCCCAUAAUGUAGUGCACAUUGGUUUUCCUGAAAGUCAAGCUUCAAAAACAUUGACCAAAUUAUUGAGAAAAAUCUAAUAUGUUUCAUGAAAAUAUAUAUCAAAUAUAUACACAUGAAAAUAUAUUUCAUGAUGAAUCAAUUGCUUUUGAUUUCGUAUUUUGGAUGUUGAUAAUUUGUUUCUGUAUAUUUGGUCAAAGUUUACAAGGUUUGACUUAAAAAAAAUCUAAUAUGUACUAUAUUUUGGGACAGAGGGAGUGCUAUUUAGUUAUUUCCUCGAGCAAAUCGAUGCUUAUUUAUGCUAAUGCAUAUGUUGUUUUAGUUCUAGUUGUGUGCAUGGCAUAUUGUUUUUCUAGAAGAUGCAGUUCUGAAUUUUCUCAUGGGUCUAUGAAUCUAUUAUUGCAUGAACUGGUGAUAUGCGGUCAAGUUGACUGACACCAUUUGGCAUUUCUAGUGCUUGAGUUGACAAAUUCGAUGUAAUCAAAUAGUGUCCCUAGAACUUAAAAAGUCAUCUAUUUAUCUAGUGUAAGUGUUGUCCUUUCCUUUUUAUGUGCCGGAAUUCUUCUACAUUCUGAGCAUCAACACACUUUUAGAUAGUACACUGGCACUGCUGCACUGGUGAUUCUAUCUUCUUUAAUACUCCCUCUCUUCACUUUUAUAAGACGUUUUAGACAGUUUGGACAGCACCCAAAACAGUCCAAUGCCAGCUCUGAAACGUCUUAUAAAAAAGAACGGAGGGAGUAUGUGAUUUAUGCUUCUGAAAGUGUCCACUAGGUUUUAUUGCUUGAUGAAUUAAGUGUUGUUUUUUGAGGAAUUGACUGUUGUAUUUGCUUAUAGGUGCAAUAUUUUGUAUCAAAUUUACCUUUAACAAUCUGUUACUAACCUUGGUUUUCCUUUGUCUCUGUCCCUUUUUUCGUCCCCUCCAAUGAUGGUGCCUGGACUAUGACCUCUGCCUUUUCAUGUUUGAUUUUCCUCUGCUGCUGCUAGGUAUUGUUUUGGCUUUUGUUUAUACAGGGUGCAUACUCACAUAAUGCUCCUUGCUCUGAAACAUUUAGUUUGACGGCCAUAUUCUGUUUGUACAUGCAAUUAUUUCUAAUAUGUAAGCAUAUUUGUAGGAUCAUACAGUGGCAGACUACGCACUCUCUAUAGUUAGUAUAUUUACUUACAGUCUUGGAUACACUAAAUGAGAACAAAGUUUGGAUGUGUCAUUGUCUGCACUCAUAUAGUUUCCUGAUGAAUAUGACGGAGCUACAUCUCUUUGACUGAAGAAAAUGAGGACCAAGCUCUCAAGACAGUUUUGUGUCUUCCACAGCAGGGCAAUUGCCUGAAAGAACCAUAACGUCAGUCCAUGCAUUCAGUUGUCUGUGCAGCAGCCUGCCAGCUGUCAUUUGAUUUGUAAUAACAUUAAUGUGCUCAUGUAGGUUACACAUGUACUAAGAACUGGUUGACUAUGUAUGACCAUCAGGUGAACUAAUAUUUCCUAUUAUUUGUUCA
Molecule: long non-coding RNA, 9735 nt
Organism: Triticum urartu
Lineage: Eukaryota; Viridiplantae; Streptophyta; Magnoliopsida; Poales; Poaceae
Source: RefSeq, a predicted model, not a curated record